RNAcentral lists this ribosomal RNA (134 nucleotides) under Symbiodinium sp. One0504-12. Its description in RNAcentral is "5.8S ribosomal RNA". It matches the Rfam family "5.8S ribosomal RNA", at positions 6 to 139 of the family's 154-position model. Rfam says of the family: 5.8S ribosomal RNA (5.8S rRNA) is a component of the large subunit of the eukaryotic ribosome. It is transcribed by RNA polymerase I as part of the 45S precursor that also contains 18S and 28S rRNA. The record is from RNAcentral. Lineage: Eukaryota; Dinophyceae; Suessiales; Symbiodiniaceae.
UCAGCGAUGGAUAUCUUGGCUCGGGCACCUGUGAAGGGCGCAGCGAAGCGCGAUAGUCUUUGUGAAUUGCAGAACUCCGUGAACCAAUCGCCUCCUGAACGUGCGUUGCACUCUUAAGAUUUCCUGAGAGUAUG